GAUGAACGCUGGCGGCGUGCCUAAUACAUGCAAGUCGAGCGAACGGACGAGAAGCUUGCUUCUCUGAUGUUAGCGGCGGACGGGUGAGUAACACGUGGAUAACCUACCUAUAAGACUGGGAUAACUUCGGGAAACCGGAGCUAAUACCGGAUGAUAUUUUGAACCGCAUGGUUCAAAAGUGAAAGACGGUCUUGCUGUCACUUAUAGAUGGAUCCGCGCUGCAUUAGCUAGUUGGUAAGGUAACGGCUUACCAAGGCAACGAUGCAUAGCCGACCUGAGAGGGUGAUCGGCCACACUGGAACUGAGACACGGUCCAGACUCCUACGGGAGGCAGCAGUAGGGAAUCUUCCGCAAUGGGCGAAGGCCUGACGGAGCAACGCCGCGUGAGUGAUGAAGGUCUUCGGAUCGUAAAACUCUGUUAUUAGGGAAGAACAUAUGUGUAAGUAACUGUGCACAUCUUGACGGUACCUAAUCAGAAAGCCACGGCUAACUACGU
RNAcentral lists this ribosomal RNA (496 nucleotides) under uncultured bacterium. RNAcentral describes it as "partial 16S ribosomal RNA". It matches the Rfam family "Bacterial small subunit ribosomal RNA", at positions 28 to 506 of the family's 1533-position model. The record is from RNAcentral.